Molecule: ribosomal RNA, 434 nt
Filed under: uncultured bacterium
Lineage: Bacteria
Description: partial 16S ribosomal RNA
Rfam family: Bacterial small subunit ribosomal RNA
Source: RNAcentral
ACGAACGCUGGCGGCAGGCUUAACACAUGCAAGUCGAACGCAUGCCUUCGGGCAUGAGUGGCAGACGGGUGAGUAACGCGUGGGAACCUACCCCUUGGUACGGGAUAGCUCCGGGAAACUGGAGAUAAUACCGUAUGUGUCCUGAGGGACAAAGAUUCAUCGCCAAGGGAUGGGCCCGCGUCGGAUUAGCUAGUUGGUGGGGUAACGGCCUACCAAGGCGACGAUCCGUAGCUGGUCUAAGAGGAUGAUCAGCCACAUUGGGGCUGAGACACGGCCCAAACUCCUACGGGAGGCAGCAGUGGGGAAUAUUGGACAAUGGGCGCAAGCCUGAUCCAGCCAUGCCGCGUGAGUGAUGAAGGCCCUGGGGUUGUAAAGCUCUUUCACCGGUGACGAUAAUGACGGUAACCGGAGAAGAAGCCCCGGCUAACUUCGUG